Molecule: ribosomal RNA, 241 nt
Filed under: uncultured bacterium
Lineage: Bacteria
Description: partial 16S ribosomal RNA
Rfam family: Bacterial small subunit ribosomal RNA
Source: RNAcentral
GAUCCUGGCUCAGGAUGAACGCUGGCGGCGUGCUUAACACAUGCAAGUCGAGCGAAGCACUUAAGUUCGAUUCUUCGGAUGAAGACUUUUGUGACUGAGCGGCGGACGGGUGAAGGUAACGCGUGGGUAACCUGCCUCAUACAGGGGGAUAACAGUUAGAAAUGGCUGCUAAUACCGCAUAAGACCACAGUACUGCAUGGUACAGUGGUAAAAACUCCGGUGGUAUGAGAUGGACCCGCGU